AUUAAAAGCCGCUCGAAAUAACGGUCGGAUAGUUCGCGCUUACAUUUCGAUACAUUGCCCAACUUGGCUGGCCCAUGGGGCAGGAACCAACCACUACCACCAUGAGGCGCAGUUCUUCCCCCCUCCCUCAGCCCUACCCAUUUUCGCGGCGCCCGACUCGGCUCCUCCCCGCUCAGACAGACGUCUCCUGGGCGUUGCCCAACCCUGUUGAAAAAUCUGCAAGAAAUGAAAAGUCUUCAAAGGGAGGUACGGGAUGGAGAUGACGAAAGCUCA
Long non-coding RNA from Fundulus heteroclitus (mummichog), 273 nucleotides. RefSeq lists it as uncharacterized. NCBI's taxonomy places the organism in Eukaryota, Metazoa, Chordata, Actinopteri, Cyprinodontiformes, Fundulidae. The transcript is spliced from 3 exons. The record is from RefSeq and is a predicted model, not a curated record.